GUGUCAUUGUGUGUCUGUGUUCAGGAGUUCAUCACCAAAUACAUACAAGAUUAUAACUGGAUUGGACUGAAUGACUCAGAAAAAGAAGGCACCUGGCUCUGGGUGGAUGGAACCCUCCUGCAGAAAAACUACUGGAGGAGUGGAGAACCACAUGAUCGUUACACACGAGGCAGUGUCAAAUACCCAGGUGCAGACUGUGCACUUACCCGGGUGAGAAUGUAUUGAUGGACGAAGACUGCCGUUUGUCCACCGACUUCAUCUGUGAGACUGAUGCUCUGCUCCUUUCAUUACCAAUGAUGUAAAAUUGAUGCCGAAUGGGCCUGGUCCCGUGUGUUCCUGGAUGGGAUGUGCCAGCGCGCGGGGCGUGUCCCAGCCGGGGACAAAGUGGGCCUGGCUUUCCAGAGAAGCGGCGGGAGCUUUGAUUUGUCUUUUGCGUUUGAGAUCAGUUUGAAAUGCAUAUGUUUUCACGUAA
Long non-coding RNA from Conger conger (European conger), 472 nucleotides. RefSeq lists it as uncharacterized. The record is from RefSeq and is a predicted model, not a curated record. Lineage: Eukaryota; Metazoa; Chordata; Actinopteri; Anguilliformes; Congridae. The transcript has 3 exons.